GUUCAUGGCUCAGGAUGAACGCUAGCUACAGGCUUAACACAUGCAAGUCGAGGGGCAGCAUGUAUCUGGCUUGCCAGAUAUGAUGGCGACCGGCGCACGGGUGAGUAACGCGUAUCCGACCUGCCGCACACUCCGGGAUAGCCUUGCGAAAGCAAGUUUAAUACCGGAUGCCGUAAUGGCGCCGCAUGGUGUUUUUUACGAAAGGGAUUUACCGGUGUGCGAUGGGGAUGCGUCCCG
This 237-nucleotide ribosomal RNA is filed under the name uncultured bacterium. Its description in RNAcentral is "partial 16S ribosomal RNA". It matches the Rfam family "Bacterial small subunit ribosomal RNA", at positions 15 to 240 of the family's 1533-position model. The record is from RNAcentral.